CUAAAGCUCUUCCCCGUCCGUCCAAUAGUCAAUCCUCCAGGUGGCGAUGGUGUACGCACUCCAUCAACGCGCCAAAUUGCACACUCUUUUUUCACUUCAGUUUUUCUUUUAUUUUUUGAAAAAAUGGAAAUACAGAGAGAGACAGAGAGUGGUUGGUAGCCAAUAUAUAUAUAUAGAAUUUUGUUUUGUUUUUGUUUUGUUUCUUGGUAUUCACUCUCUGUAUUCUGUUUGGCGCUCGGACUUCUCGAAGGUACGAUCUUCAUAAACUUACACUACACUCCAACAAUGCUUGCUUAAUCACCAAGUCGACGCUUCGAUCAAUCUCACUUCUCCCAAUAUUGAUCAAUUUCGAUCCACCUAUCAAUAUAUCGACUCAUUUGAUCACAUCUACUAAUCAAUAAUCACCAAUACUUAUCCCCCAUUCUAGGGUUUCCAACUAAUCAAUUACUAUAUUUCGAUUCAUAUUAAUCUUAAUUUUGUCUCCAAUGGAGCUGUUUUUGAUCUAUCCAUUAGAGUGACUUGGAGGUUUGGGUGUGUGUGUGUGUGUGUGUGUCUCUCUCUCUCUCUCUCUCUCUCUCUCUCUCUAUAUAUAUAUAUAUAACUGUAAAGAGUAAUGGCGAGCGCCGGAGAUGAAGACGGCGUUGUUUUGAGCGACGUCGAGGCCGACGAUCAGGUUAGGGAGGUUCUCGCGGAGAAUUCGAAGUCCGAAUUGCAGGAAUCAUUCAAUCGGCUAAAAAUCAUCGCUCAUGAAGCGAUCAAGAAGCGCGACGAGGCGUUGCGCGAGAAAGAAGAUGCUUUAAUAUCAAACGAGAAGUUAUCGACAGAGUUAGCCAUUGCUUUGAAGGAGAGGGAUGAGUCUGCGAAAGCAAUUGAGACUGGGGCUCAGAUGUUGGUGACUGGGAUUGAGAUGAUAUCGAGAAAAGUGAGCAAUUUCAAGAAUUUUACUUCAGGUGGAUUGCCUAGGUCUCACAAGUACACUGGUUUGUCUGCUGUUGCUUAUGGAGUUAUCAAGAGAACGAAUGAGAUUGUUGAAGAACUUGUGAGGCAGAUUGAAUCGAUAGCCAAGUCUAGGAAUGAAGCCAGGGUGCAGAUGGAGCAGAGAAAUUAUGAGAUUGCUAUUGAAGUUUCUCAGCUUGAGGCAACGAUUAAUGGGUUGAGAGAAGAGGUUUCCAAGAAGACUUGUUUUAUAGAUAAUUUGGAGAAAUCUGUAGCUGAAAAGGAUGGGAAGAUAUCUGAGGUGGAAAAGCAGGUCUUGGGGCUGAGGCAAAUGGUCAGUGAUUAUGAUCAUAAGUUGAGGAAUUUAGAGUUGAAGAUGGACUCGCAAAGGCCUCUAUUGGUUGAUCAUUUAAAUUAUGUAUCGAAAAUUCAUGACAGGCUUUAUGAUGUUGUCAAGAUAGUUGAUGUUCCUAAUAAAAUGGACCAGUCGCAUUUGUCGGGGUCCAUGUUUCUACCAAAAGAAACAGGCUUGGAGGAGAAUAUUCGUGCUUCAUUAGCAGGGAUGGAAUCUAUGUACAAGUUAACUAGAAUUGUAGUUGAAAAAACAAAGGGUUUAGUAGAGGAGAGGAGUCGUGAAGUGAAAAGUCUUAGCGAAACUGCUUCUCGGUUAGUUAAGGAGAAAGAGCAUAUUGGGUCUCGUCUUAGACUCGCUUUGUCAAGAAGGAUGACAACAGGUUUGUCAUCAAAGACAAAUGAAUUGUUUAAAGUUGCAGAAAAUGGCUUCAGAGAGGCUGGGAUAGAUUUUAAAUUUUGUAAUCAUCUUGGGGAUGGGAAAGAUGAAAUAUAUGAUUUGGCUGGUGCUUUGGACAAUAUCAUUAAGCAAUCUCAGCUUGAGAUCAUAGAGCUGCAGCAUUCUGUGGAGGAGCUAAGGGCAGAGACAAGUUUACUCAAAGAGCAUGUGGAGGCUCAAACCAAGGAGCUAAACAAUAGGAAGCAACAUGUAGAGGAACUUAAAGAGAAGGAGAGAGUGUCAAAUGAAAAUGUUGAAGGACUUAUGAUGGAUAUUGCUGCUGCUGAAGAAGAAAUUACGAGAUGGAAAGUGGCAGCACAGCAGGAAGCUGCUGCAGGCAAAGCUGUUGAACAAGAGUUUGUGGCACAGUGUUUAGGACGAUGUGGCGCUGUUUUAGGUCCUCAAAAGUUUGGCUUGUCAAUGCCGUUGUAUUACCUAGUUUAAAAGUGCUUGCAUGGCAUCUACGAGGGGUAGGGCUCCUGAUAAGCCAGUCAAGCCCAGCUUAGAGGUGUUUAUGUUCAGGCUUGGAUAUACCUUUUCUUGGAUAGUUGUCAGCCCUACGCCAGGAGCUCGAGGAGGCAAAACAAGCUGUGUUGGAGUUAGAGCAAAAGCUCAAAUUCAAAGAAGAAACAGCAGCUGCUGCCAUGGCAGUAAAAGACGCGGCUGAGAAAUCCUUGAGAUUGGCGGACUUGAGGGCGUCGAGGCUCAGGGAUAGGAUUGAGGAGCUGACACAUCAGCUCGAGCAGCUCGACCCUCGAGAAAACUCGAGGGGCCUAAGUGGCCCUAGAUAUGUAUGUUGGCCACGGCAAUGGCUGCGGUUGGACUUGCUUGGUUUCCAACGAUCUGAUACACAACCACAAA
Camellia sinensis is the source of this 2587-nucleotide non-coding RNA. Lineage: Eukaryota; Viridiplantae; Streptophyta; Magnoliopsida; Ericales; Theaceae. The record is from RefSeq and is a predicted model, not a curated record.